Cavia aperea (Brazilian guinea pig) is the source of this 119-nucleotide ribosomal RNA. Lineage: Eukaryota; Metazoa; Chordata; Mammalia; Rodentia; Caviidae. The record is from Ensembl.
GUCUAUGGCCAUACCACCCUGAAUGUGCCCGAUCUCGUCUGAUCUCAGAAGCUAAGCAGGGUCAGGCCUGGUUAGUACUUGGAUGGGAGACCACCUGGGAAUAUCGGGUGCUGUAGGCU